This is a long non-coding RNA of Cygnus atratus (black swan), 1959 nucleotides long. RefSeq lists it as uncharacterized. The record is from RefSeq and is a predicted model, not a curated record. NCBI's taxonomy places the organism in Eukaryota, Metazoa, Chordata, Aves, Anseriformes, Anatidae. The transcript is spliced from 4 exons.
AGAUAAUUGUACUCAGGCAAGCAAAAGAAAAGACAUACAUUUUAGGUACGAUAUACCGGAUUGUCAUUAAACCACAAGGAAUUUCUGCUUCUAAUGUGGUUGGGCAGCAGCCUGAUGGAAAGAAUGGGACUGCAUUUUUCAUGUGAGCAACUGGGUCCCCAUUUGUAUGUUCAGUGCAUCCCAGAAAAUUAAUGGAUCUGCAAAUGAACUACUGAAAUGUUUGUAAAGACUUUAUUUGUGUUAGACAAGCAGUCCUUCCGUUGCCCAUCUGAACCCUGCACCGCAGACAGAGUCACAAGGGCUGUGAGACAUACUGCCUGGGUAAAUAAAUUGGACAACAAUGCUAGCAGUUACUCCUUCUAGAACAACGGUGCCAUAUAUCCCCAGCAAACCGAGGCUGCCAAACACCCCUGGGACUCCAGUCUCCGUGCCAGAUAUUUGCUACAUAGCAGUACACGACACUGCAGGGAGAUGAUGUACCUUUGUCUAUGCCGGCAGUGACAUCAAAACAAUCAUUUAAUUUCUGGUGUACUGAGAAAGCCAUUGGAAAACGCUGGUACAUGCACUUUAGGCUGGUACCUGCACUUUGCUGAAAACCUCCAUGCAAAGACUGAGAUUCUUGUCAGGACACCUUCAAGAAAACUGCCGUACUGAACCAAGCUCAAAGUUGGCUCGAAACCUCUUGGACAACACGGUGGAGUGCACUGCCCUUGCAUCUGACUCAUGGAAAAGAGCUGCCCCGUACCACCCAAGAGCAAAGUGCUUUACAAACAGCAUGAGACCACGCCUAAACCCUUAGAUAGCAAGAGAUGUAAGACCACAGGAAGCAUUGACUUUUCCACACUGGGAAUGUGGAAGCUCCUCCAUUUGUUAUGUGCUGUGAACCAACAGAGCAACAGACUGCUGUCAGUAAAUCCAAAUGCUGUCAUCACAGCAGCUGCCCAGGAGCACAGAUGUGUGGGUUAAUAGAACCUGCCAAAGCCAAGCACAUAAAGAACUUCAUCAAAAUACAUCAGUGCAUCAGACAUCCCUUUGCUUUCAAUACUAAGGAUAAACAAAGGUCACACUGUCACCAGAUCACAGAAGCUUGCUGGGCUUGAUGCUAUUUUUUGCUGAGUUGCUCAAGAAUUAGAGAAUAGCUGGCAAUUUCAUUCACAAAUAUUUGCUAAUAGUUCCUAAUAUUUGCAAUAGUUCCUAAUGGGGCAGUGGAAGCAUGGAAGACUGGAAAAGACAUGGCUGUUCUACAUCUGGGGAGGAGACAAAUGUGCUCUAAAGCUACCAGGCAGCAUUUUUUGCUGUCUCUUUGUUAGGAAACUUUCUGUUAGAGUGACAUACAGAGCUGAAAGCCUCUACUAAAAUGUGUUUGGCAUCCAGCUCCAACUUCUGGGUCUAUGGUCCAGCAUGGUCCACCUAGAAGGUGGCUACCAAAAGGAACCAGAGGCAGCAGCUGUGCUGCCUGCCUGCUCAGGAGCUCUGUGCACUCUGGGGCAGUGCCUGCUGCAUUGGGAAGUCCCGUCCUUUUUCUCAUCAUCCAAAAGUUCAGCAAUAGCAAUCUGCAUGCCUUGCUUGGCAGCCGUCCCAGUAGCACAAGAGCACUCUGUGAUGGACUCUUUGGUUUCUAGGCUUAGAUGACUACUUCUUAGACUUUCUAACAGCAACAUUUCAUGCUGUCAUUUCAAGCCAUUUCAUGGCUUAUAGACACAAUGGCACUGCGGAUGAAAUAGUAGGCAUAGUCUCUUCAAGGGUCCCUUAGACCUGAUUAGGGGUUUUAAGCUCUCCUUCUUUAAGAUAUAUGGAUCCCCCCAAGGAAGAAUGGAUUUUGAACCUCUGCUCUCAGACAUAUCUCCUUUUAACAUGUGGAGUUCCAAAAGCAAUGACAGAUUAGAAACUCAUGCCAAAGUCGCUGAAGCAUUUACUAUAGCCCAAGGAAGCUAGUGUCACUCUUUCCUUUGUCCAGAA